UGCAAGUCGCGUGCGCAGUUCCGUAGCAAUACGGGAUGGGCGCACGGCGCACGGGUGCGUAACACGUGGGCAAUCUGCCCUCUGAUGGGGAAUAACCCGCCGAAAGGCGGGCUAAUUCCGCAUAAGAUUCCCGGGACUUCGGUUCUGGGAUUGAAAGCAGUAAUGCGUCGGAGGAGGAGCCCGCGCCCGAUUAGCUAGUUGGUGAGGUAACGGCUCACCAAGGCAAUGAUCGGUAGCUGGUCUGAGAGGAUGAUCAGCCACACUGGAACUGAGACACGGUCCAGACUCCUACGGGAGGCAGCAGUGGGGAAUCUUGCACAAUGGGCGAAAGCCUGAUGCAGCGACGCCGCGUGGGGGAUGAAGCAUUUCGGUGUGUAAACCCCUUUCGACUGGGAAGAAUGCCUCGCAAGAGGAGUGACGGUACCAGUAGAAGAAGCCCCGGCUAACUACGUGCCAGCAGCCGCGGUAAGACGUAGGGGGCCAGCGUUGUUCGGAAUUACUGGGUGUAAAGGGUUCGUAGGCGGUGCGGCAAGUUGGGAGUGAAAUCUCUGGGCUUAACCCAGAGGCUGCUUCCAAAACUGCUGUGCUCGAGUGUGGGAGAGGCGCGUGGAAUUGCAGGUGUAGCGGUGAAAUGCGUAGAUAUCUGCAGGAACACCCGUGGCGAAAGCGGCGCGCUGGACCACUACUGACGCUGAGGAACGAAAGCUAGGGGAGCAAACAGGAUUAGAUACCCUGGUAGUCCUAGCCCUAAACGAUCAGGACUUGGGGUGCCGCCCGUUCGGGCGUCGUCCCGGAGCUAACGCGUUAAGUCCUGCACCUGGGGAGUACGUCGCAAGACUGAAACUCAAA
This 849-nucleotide ribosomal RNA is filed under the name uncultured bacterium. Its description in RNAcentral is "bacterial SSU rRNA". It matches the Rfam family "Bacterial small subunit ribosomal RNA", at positions 56 to 905 of the family's 1533-position model. The record is from RNAcentral.